GCACUGGGGGCAAGGACAACAAUCCCAGGAUUCUGUGUACUCUUGUCCGGAAAUAACAGACACAAACCGGGGUCAGACGCUGAGCUCUGGAAUCUAGAUGAAAGACGCGGCGGUGGCAGGUCAGACACAGCAUGUCUCUUUAUGUGCUUCAUUCUGAGAUGUGACUCUAGCUCGACAGGUGAAUACGUGUUUCUUUCCCAGCGUUGUAUCCCAUGACCCCAGAUCUUUCAUAUCCGUGAAUAAAU
This is a long non-coding RNA of Carassius auratus (goldfish), 245 nucleotides long. RefSeq lists it as uncharacterized. NCBI's taxonomy places the organism in Eukaryota, Metazoa, Chordata, Actinopteri, Cypriniformes, Cyprinidae. The record is from RefSeq and is a predicted model, not a curated record. The transcript is spliced from 3 exons.